RNAcentral lists this long non-coding RNA (10752 nucleotides) under Acyrthosiphon pisum (pea aphid). RNAcentral describes it as "uncharacterized LOC107882420, transcript variant X3". The record is from RNAcentral. Lineage: Eukaryota; Metazoa; Arthropoda; Insecta; Hemiptera; Aphididae.
ACCGGCCGCGGCCCGCACGCCGGCGCGGGCGAGCGCGCGCGCAGGUAUCGCACCGCGCGCGCUACGGUCGAGCGGGACCGAACCCGCGGCCAGACGCGAACGCUCGCCGGUCCGUCGACCGUCAUUCGUACGACUGCUGCAAUCAACAACAAACGUUCUCGCGCCGAGUUCUCUCAUUUCACUACCACCAUUUAAACCACACUAAGUUCUUAUUUCGUUAUGACAAUAUUAUUAUGUAUUCCGCCGCUGUUUACUUAUACUUGCCGUACUUACACCGCAGCAUAAAACUAUAAUUUUUACGUUUUUAUUCUCUUCGUCCGUCACCCGAGUAAACCGCCGAUUUCACGAUUACGAUAUUAUAUUUUUUGUGUUUGAUUUUUUUUCGCUAUUUUUUUUAUUUAAUUUUAUCAUAUCCCAUGCAACAAACAUUUUAGAACGAUCGCAGUACUCGACAACUCGCGCUCAUCUUCAAGCCACAGACCUCCGAUACAUCGUCGUCGACGGUCAACCGACGACAUUGUUAUUGACACUCAUAUAAUAUCAUGACGCACUCGAUGUACAGUGCAGACGCGUUUAAUGUUGAAAUGUGGAAUAUUGUGCUAUUCGGAACUAUAAUAUAAUAUACACGUCUUUGCAGACUAAAAUUACAUUCAUAUUCUCAUCGAUGAUGGAAAUUUCAAACACACUAUUUUCGAGAACUAUUCAAACUCCUCGAUACGGAUAUGGACAAGCGGCUGUGUGACGAAUGGAUGACGUGUACCUGCAUAAUGCAAUUUACGGAGCAAAAUAUGUAGUACGCAAUAAAACUCAAAAAAUAAUUCAUUUUUCGGCGACUAUAUUAUACAGUCAAACGAGUUGUCAUCGCAAACGCGAUACGGCAGCAACAACGAUGAGAUCAAUACGGUCGGAGAUACCGUUGCAUAUAAAAUACCAUCGGAUCACUGCCGCAGUAGUCAAACCUAUUCCCACGAACUGUUGAGUGGCGGCGACAGAAACGAUAUUGUUCUAAGAACCCAAUGCGAUUUGUCGCGUGUCAGUGGGCCACCAGACGCAGACGAUCGACGGUUAUCACUCUCCGCUGGCGGAAUUCGGAGGCUAAGCAAACGCUCCGGGGCCUCGAUAUAAUAUAAUUGCAUUCCACGCGGCGCCGCAACAAAAUAAACGGUCUAUAUUUUACCGAAGAAAUUCCACCGACGUCGUCGUCUUCCGUGGUCCGGAGAAAAACUCAGUGAGCCCAGUAUAACAAUGAUGAUAAUAAUAAUAACAAAAACAGAAACAACAAUGACAACCACAACAACAACAUCAUCAACAAGGACAUUAACAACACAAACAAUUUAUUAUAACGUAGCCCGAGGAACGGGAGACAAGUAUUUCCGGAAUCGCAAUUAUUGUCGCCAUCGAAUUCAAUGGAUGAUUGAUUCCCGUCCAGAGAGGAGUGAACUUUUCAGUAACAAACAAACGAACAGGUAAAACAUUUUAGGUUUUCGAUAGUAUUUUAAAAAGAAAGACAACGGGUCGCCACAAAAGCAUACAUCUCGCCCGCACAAUGGUUGAGGCGCUGCGCCCACGACGUUUUUGUUUCAAUAAUGAUGUCGUUUCAAAUGGACACAAAACUUUUGUUCGAAAUUUCAGUUUGCGUAAAUAUUCUUUGAAUGUUCGUUAUUUUCCCGCUCACGUUAAUUAAAAUAAUAUAAUGGUUACGUGUUAACUUGUCGUUCGUAAAUCUCGGAACUUCAGGUUCAAAAACCACAUUAUCGUCAAAUCGUAUUUCACCUCAGCCGUGUGUUACAUUUUAUAGAGUUAUCUCGCGUUCUUUAAAAUAACUAAACGAUAUGACAAAAUAACAAAUUCAAAAUUGAAUCAAUGUAAAUAAAUAAUUUAAAAAAUAUAUAUACAUAAAUGCGUUACAUGACCUAAUUUAUAGUAAUUUGAACUUUAAUGACGACUGAAUAUACUUAAUAUACGAACCUAAUAUUUAUACGAUUACAAUUUACAACCCCGAAUGGGGCUACGACUUGCUAUCUCCAUUAAUUCAAUAAUUAUUAACACUAUAACUCUGCAGUGAGUGCGUAGCAGCGAUAAUGUUAAAUACCCGCGAGUGCAAUUCCGAUGCAAAAGAACUCAUUGGAAUUACUUAAUUUUAUCUUAUAAAUCAUAAUUAAAUAAUAUGACGUAUUGCGAUGUUUUUCACGUCGGCGGAAACAUGGACGAGAAACGAAAGAAAACCAUUUUCUUUAAAACUUGGACGCGUUUUGCCAACCGUCUGGUCGUCGCUGCAAAAGGGGUGGUGAUGGCGACGUGAAACCGUACACAGACUGCACUGUGUCGCACGCGAUUUGGAUGGUGGGGCGCGGGUGUUACGGUAAUGAUAUUAUUAUUAUUAUUACGUUCACGUGGGUCACGUCAUAUUAUUAUCACGACGACGACGACGUCUCACAACGCCGUCGUCGCGCGGACACACAAACAGAAAACAGCAGAUAAUAAUAAUUAAUAUGGCACCGCAGCGGCGGCGCGUCAGUGUCGGCGGUUGAAUAACCUCAUCGCAUCCCGGUGCAGUCGUCGUUGUUCUAACAGUUUCGGCGUCGUUUCCUGCGCCGCCGCGAGUUGAUUAAACGCCGUCAUCAUCACGCUCCAGUUUCGUGCAGAUCUUGUAUCGCGAGACCGACCGACCGUGUGCAUUUCGUCUUAAGAUGUAUUAUAAUAUUAUACGCAUUUCCACCGCAAGUGGAACGCGUACGACGGCGGUGCGUGCGCCGGUAAUCUAAUAUAUCGCGUCCAGGCUGCAACAUUACCAUGGUAUAUUAUGUAUUUAUGUAUAAUAAUAUUAUAUUAUGCUGUUUUAAUGCACGCGCAAUACCAUUGCUGUAAUAUAUCAUAUUAUUACUAUACGGUCACUGUUAUAACGUUCUACGAGAUGGUGGAGAUAUUACAAGCAACCGACGCAGCAGCUAUGUACGAUAUAUAUAUAAAUAAUGCGAUGAUGUCUUAAAAAACAUACUUGCAACAAUAAUAAUAUAAUUAUAUAUAUACGCGUAGGCAUAAUAUUAUUAUAUUCGGCGGCGGUCGCGUUUUUCCGAUAUUUUAUUGUACAUCGUUUCGCCGCCCCGAGAGACUGUUUAUAUCGUAUACCUAUUAAGUUAUAUACCUACCUAGCGUAUAAUAAUAUAUUCAUUUUAAUAAUAUUAUUAUACUGCUGCAGAAUGAGAGACCGUGGUGGGAGCGACUGACGCCGCGGACGAGUCGUCGCGGACUACAACGGGCUCGUGACCGGAUCUCGUGGAUAAUCGUGAUCGUCGAAAACGUUGCAGAACAGCGAAACGAAAUUAGGCGCACUGCUGAAACUUGUAAUAAUAUAAUAUAUUGAUAUACAUAUACGACGGACGUGGUCUCGGGGGGGGGGGAGGGGGAGGCUCGACUCGGCGUAGGAUAGUAUGGUCGUUUAGGGUUGGGAUUUCUUCGAUAUGCUUUGCAUAUUGCUUACCGAAGCUAACGUUAAAUGAGAAUAAUAGUGAUAGAGCAUUUUAUAAGUGCGUUAUUUUGAAUUUUGGGGCAUUAUAUAAUAUGACAUAUGUCAUUAUGACGAUACCUAUGCGUGAGGCAAUUAUGAAUCACACUCCGACAAACACUGUUCUGGUCGGAUAUCAGUAUAUCACUCGUACAUAGUUUGCUAUUCCUACCAUGUUGUAUAUGUAGGUGUUUGUACGAAUAAAAUUAUUUACGAUAGAAUAUCGUACCAGAAAUAAUAAUAAAUAUACGAAAGUAUACGAAUAUGUAAAUAUAUAACUGUACGAAUUUAGCGGGAUACAAGAAUUUCGGUAUUUCGUAUUUUUCUGCACGCUUCGUUUCGAAGUCGACCGAUGCUUAUAGCGUACAAUAUUAUAAUAUUAUCUAUUACCACUCUUACCGGCAUGGUACCUUUUUUAUAUUAUUAUAAGUACAUCCGCAACGUGUUAAAAAAAAAAAUCGUCUGAUAAAAUUCGCGUCGAUCAAACAUGAAAUUCAAAUGAAGCCACUGCCGGUCCCACCAGCCGCCCGCGGCGGAGACGCGCGCGCACAGAUCGCCGCACGUGCGUCGUUUCGCCAUAUUUUCACGCGUCGAGGCGCGCAUAGUACACGAUUUUCGCGGUCUCUCUCUUUCCCCCUUUCCCUUUUCACGCUCUCACCCUCUCUCUUUUCUCUUCCAUCUCUCUCGCUCUCCGUCUCGCUCGGUCUCUCGCCCUCUCUCUCAAUCUCUCUCGCGCCGGUCCACCGUCGAUCAUUCGCCGUCUGGCCGUCGGCAGGCGCGCUCGUCGUGCCGCGAAAACCGAUAGUGUCCGUUGGUCGGUCGUCACCAUCACCACCAUCGAAUGUCGGCAGACGUGUAACGGCUUUGGGUAAUUAUAUUGUUUUUUAUGAAUAUAUUUUUUCUUCCAGUUUUGUUUCUUGAAAAAAAAAGACGAUUGCAGUAGUUUUAUUUAAUUUAAACGAACCGCCGGUCGCGUAUCCGGACUAUAACGUGCAUGUCACAUAUUAUACGCUACGAUGAGUGUAUACAUACGAUGGAUGUGUUUGUCUACACAAUUUGUGCGAAACGAAUAUUGUAUUAUUUUCACAACGCGAUCCGUUCAUUUGGCGUUUCCCACAUCUACCAGCUCUAUAUUGCAGACCUGCACCGGAAUCGACCGAAUUGAGCCGUACUGCCGUCCACGGGCUUAACGGAUGAUAGUUUGUGUCCGAAAAUUCACAUUAUCGUUAUUAAACGCCAGCAACGCGCAACACAAUUCCGGUAAUAUUAAUUAAUUACGAGUAUUACCAUAAUAUUGUAUAAUAUGCGGAGACAGUGGUGGUUAAGUGUAAUACAUUAUGGUAUGGUAUAUUUAUGUAGAAUAUAAAAUAAUAUACGCGCAAGCAAUCCGGUCGACGAAAAGUUUUUCUAUUAUUCAAGUAUAUAAUACAGUUUUUACCUCUUUUUUUUUGGUUUUGUUUUUCUUUUACUUCGCUCUUCUCCAGAAAAACGCGCAUAAAACUUUUAGGUAAAAGAAACUGUAAAUAUAUAAAUAUACGUUCGAGUAUUGUUAUUUCUUUGCUUGUCGGUUUUCUCGAGUGCCCCAUCACCUAAUGUUUUUCUUCUUUUUUAUAUUAUUUAUUCCUCCUCGCGCACUUUAUUUAUUAUCCGAAAAUCUUCUUAUCCUCGGUGUGCGGGGACGAGAACAAAUUUGAAAUUCGCUGAAAGUUAAUCCAAGAAUGUUUUUUUUAUUAACAUUUUUAUGUUUUGUUUUUUUUUCAUUGUACGCGAAAGUCCACGUCUUAAUUCAAUAACCAAAAUGCUUAUUACAUUUACAUAAUGGAAAUUAUUUCGUUGUGGAACGAUGUUUAAUUUUUUUUUCAUUAUUUAUGCCUUAUUAUGCAUUUCUUCGCUCCUCCAAUCGUCGUUUUUCCUGCUGUCGAUUAAUAAUGGAAUAUUUAAAUGACAUUUUAUACCCUAUUGUAUUAUAACGUACGAUAUUAUCAAGAGGUAUAUAUAUAAUAUAAUAAUGUAUAGUCCGUGGCGCGAGUGUUUCUUCAUUGAUGGGAAAGUUAUCGACUCGCGUUUGCGGAAUUUUAAAGAACAGAGAGGGAUCGGUUAUAGAGAAUUGACGCCGAGGGGGAAGGAAUGAAAAAAAGCGUAAAAUGCGCUGCUCGAGAAACAUGUAAUAAUAAUAAUCGCACCGACACCCCUAUACUCACACGCAUACACAUAUAAUAUGUAUAUUGUAUAUAUAUAUAUAUAUUGUUGAACGAAAGUUUUGCCGCAAAUGAAACUCGCCGUAGUGUUAAAAAUUCCUGCAAAAGCGUUCAUUAAAAUGUUUUUCGUUAUACGUGUAUGUGGUAGUAUGUUUCAGUAUCGUGCACAGCCUUUGUUCGGCGCAUUCAUUCUUAGACUUUAUGUUAUACCACACGUGAAUGGUUUUCGGUCAAAACUCCCGUAAAAUUUAACGACCUAUUCCUCUAUAUAUAUAUAAUACCCUCUGUGUACCAGUAUUUUAGCCAGUAAAGAACUAUACAGAAUAAUAUAGUUAUCUAAUAUAAAGAACUUUUCUUUUUUUUUUUUAUCGAAAACUCGUAUCGACAAGGUUGUGUGCAAAUACGUCACGGUACGUAGACUGAUUUGAGAUAUUUUUCGGCGGUGCAAAGACGACAACGUUAUAAUAAAAAACACGGCUUUAUCAGCUUUCAUUUUUGUUUUCUCGUAAAUCGUAAUCGUCCAGCGUAAUGGGGUUUAGGCCCAGCCAAAUUUUUGGGGCGAAAGAGAUGAACAUCCCAGUCAUACUCUUAUAAGUCCUCCUCCUUGUGUGUAUAUUAUGAUAUACUACUAUUAUUAUAUUGUACAAUUUCCCUCCCGGGACAAGCCGUAAAAAACGAUCGGGCACUUAAUAUUACUAUUUCGAUAUAACCGUGCCCCAAAUAUGAUAUUAUAUUCUAUAUUAUACGCUGUUAUCAUUAUUACUAUUAUUAUUAUUAUUAUUAUUGUUAUUAGUGUACUGUUAGAUCACAUAGUCGCCUGACGCCCAGUUGUAAUAACACGCGGUGGCGCGGUCAAGCAGCGAUUGCUAAACUCCGAUUAGAAUAAUAUUAUGUAUAAACCGACCAUAUAUUAAUAUUUUACAGUAUAGUUUAAUAAUAUUAUAUAGUAGGCAGGUAGUGCUGUGGUACGUAGGCGUUAUACAUAUUAUAAUAAAGUUAUAAUAACGGUUUGGUGGAAUAUAUUCAAAAUUAAAUUUUACUCGGACCGUAUAAUAUGAUUUAUCAGGUUUCUCGGCCUGGGCACCAAGCGUUUCAAAGCAGCAGCGUACUAUAGUUUGAGUGUGUAUAUAAUGUGUAUCUGUGAGUGCAAGCGCACGCGCUAAGUCCAUUAUGAUAUAUUAUUUUAAACGGAUAUUUUAAGAACUGGCCGUCGUAUACUUGCCAGAAAAUUGAUUGUUUUUGUUUUCAUAAUAUAUAAAGUAUUUGAUAAAUAUUUGUGCAUGCGAUCCAUCUGGUCGACGGUGGUGGGUGCGGCGUUGAACAGAAUAAGGUAGCUUAAAAUAAACCAUCGAUUUGACGUAGCACGUGUGCUUCGGGCUUGGGCUCAGCUUAUUCCCUUGCAGGAUACGCGGUCGGUUAUAUCUAUAUAUUAUUAUCUAUGUGUUCUACAGGGCGCGCUUUUCGAAGGUUAAAUUUGUAAUGAAAAGUAUAAUUUACUAUGGAAACCGUUUUUUUAUUUAAAUAUCCGUUAUUACGGUAAACGCGUCAUGAAAAUAGAUAUUAUUAUAUGGUUUGUAGUCAUAACGUAGAGUUUUCAUAUCGUCAAAAGCCCUUCAAAAAAAAAUGUAUAUUAUUACAGUAUAUACUAUUUUAUAUUAUGUACAUAUUAAUAUUAUAUACGAGCGAUAACGCGACGUCGACACCGCCCGCGCGCGUCACGUCAUACAAUUUUUUUUAGCCAGCUCUUCACCCCCUCCCCACAUGGCCUGACAGUUCGCCCACGCGACUGACUGGCGCGUGUGCCGCACCUGAGUCGCGACUGCACAACCACCACAGCGUAUAAUCCGGCGGGAUAGCCGCACACGGCCGUAUAACAUGAUGUAUUAUAAUAUAGUGAGUAUAAUAAUAAAACUGCUAUAAUAAUAAUAUUAUCGUAUAUAUACAAAACGGAAUAAUUUAUUGGCCACUGUCGUUCCAGCUGCCAACGCGUCACAUGGCGUUGCACAAACACAUCGGUCCGCGGCUGUCGAAUGUAACGUUAUAUUAUUAUUAUUAUUAUUAUUAUUAUCAUAGUGACAAGCGGCGGCGGCGGAUUCUAUAAUAAUAUUAUUAUUCCUCUUCGUUAUCUGACGCGGUCGAAUCCUCCGCACCCAAACCCGUGACGUCUGCAGCGACGAUGAUUUAUUAUAAUAUUGCCGUCGGUUUGAGCAAAUAUGAGAUCGACAAAACGUAUCCGCGUAAUUCCAUAAUAUGGUAGGUACGCGCCCGAUCGUGUGUAGUGUGUAUGUGCAGUGUAUACAUCAUAUGACUAAAUUUUAGUAUUAAAAUGGACUAUAUAAAUUAGUUUGACGCGUUUUGACUAUUAUAAUUAGUUAACUAGUUAAUUUUAAUUAGUAUAUAUUGAGCUAGGGGUUAGGAACUUUGCACAUAUGUAUAUAACAUAUGUUCUUUUUUUUUUUAUAUCCUAGAAGAAUAUGACAAGUAUGAAUCCUUUUCGUGCUUGAUGAUAACUGAUAAGUAAAGCGUAUUAUUAUGUUUUCUCAAUCUAUAUAUAAAUUAAAAAGGUUUUGAAUUUUCUAUCAGCUCACUUUAAAUGUUUAUAAAAUAUGAAGUUCGAUUUUCGGCUCAUUAUUUUAUGUAAAGCGUAUUUUCGAGUGUUAUAAAAUUUUGCAUAUAAAAUCGCUAACGAGUAUAUUUUUUAGCACUACAACUCUCGAACCCCGAUAUCGACAUAUUAUAUGCCUAUAUGACAUUUAUUUCCCCUUACGUUCCUAACUUCUUUUUUGGUUCCGGUAUCUUUGCUUUUCUGUCGAGAGACAUUGUCUCUUUCUCUCAUCUUCGGUUCAGUCUGAGCAACCCACUCCCUGUAACAACUCCUUCAAUUUGUUUCCCCUCUACAUAUAAACUAUAUUAUACAGUAGGUAUACACCUUUGAAGCCAACGGCUGCAUUGACGUUUUUUAUUCAUUCAUCUUGAUCUAAGUUCUCCCUUAUUUCAGGCGAUAUCUCCGUCUUUCUUUUUCAAAUUGGCUCCUGCGCAUCACCUGAUAUAGAAUCCUUUGUUGAUUUAUGUUCACCUCUUAUUAUAAUAUUUCAUUCACAAUUUCAUCAAAGACUCCGGGAUGCAGCCUACGGGAUCCUCUGCAGUAUUGAUACAUUUAAUAAAUGUUCACAACGUUCACUCCCAAUUGCACAGCUUCAUAAGUUCCCCGAACAACCAAACGUCGAUAAAGAGCACAUAACAAUUAUAUCACUAGAUUCUUACGGCCGUAUCACCAUGGCUACAAAAAUAAUUAUAAUAUUAUAUUACGAGUGUUUACCACUGUCCCCAUAUUACACCGACCGUACAAUCAAAGAAACAGCGGCGUUAGACAUUGUUUUUUUUUCUUUCAAUUCUGUACAAGAGAGUGCGCGUGAUAAAUGACAGAUGGCCUAUAUAAUAUCUAUACACAUGGCUGAAGUGGCGUAUACGCAUGUAUAUGUGUGUACAUAUAUAGUAUGUAUGCUUCUGCAAGUCUGGUGUGUGCGCGCGUGUGUAUACAUAUACACGAGAUUAUGAGGAGCGACGGGCUCGUAAGUCUGGAUGAGGUGGGUCGGGGAGCGGCUGAAACCUUUUUCCGAUCCCUGAAACAAUACGACACGGCGACCAGAUUACACUUAGCGUGCGUCUAUUCCCCUUUAUGCAGGAGCCGACGCGAUAUCCCGCGGUCGCCGCCCACUGCUGCAGCUGCUGACCCGCGAAGAAAAUAUAAAAAUCCCUGAUGCGAAUGUGUCGCGCGCGUGGCAUUCGUUUCAUGUUUGCAUUGCUCCGAUAUCUGGCGAGGAAGAGGUUUUUGUAUUAUAUGUAUAAUAAAAAAAUAUACUAUGUACAAACAUCAACGGGUCGUAAAAAUUGUCUUCUAUAUAUAUGCCGUGGUCGUAUAGCGUAUAACGUAAACUAUAUUAUUACACUAUACGUAUAUAUAUAUAUAUAUAUCGUAUUCGGCCUACACGUGCGGUGUUGCCGGACCAUAAUAAUACAUAUCGCCACUGCGAUAUAUAUACAAACAGUCAGCCGAGCCCCAUCGGGGCUCGUUUUCCGGGAGACGUCGAGUACGCGACGACCGCGGCGUUUUUACGCACCUCAUACCGUGGCGGGUUUUAUCGACAUUUUACGUCCGUCGUUUAUGCGCCAAACGACGGUACCGCGCAGAGUACUUUAUAUUAUGUUAUUAUUAUUAUAUUCCCCGGCGGGCACGUUAGAGCGGAUACGGUUCCCGAUGGUCGGCGUGUUGUUAUAUACGUGAACUAUAUAAUAUUAUAUAUUAUGUGUAUAUAUAUAUAAACAAACACAAACUGAUUUAUAUCGCGAAAUAAAAUCGACUCGAGCAAGCCACGAUCGUGGACGACGAAAAGCACUAUAAGUGUGCAGAUUUUCCCGCUGUGCGAUAAAUACCAUCAAAUAAUAAUAACAACAAAAAAACCAAGUAUUGCGUUUUAUGUAGGUAUAGAUUCCACAAAAUAUGUUGGUCUGCGCCUCUUUGGGUGAGAAAUUGUUUAGAAAUUUCAGUUAUUCUUUUUCUCUCUUUACCACUUUAAGAUUGUAUUUGGGAUAAAUAAAUCAAGAACAACCCAACCUUCCCUCCGCUAGCUCCCACGAAGAAUAAAAUUGAUCGUUUUACCUCUCGACCGACAGCUUUCAUUAUAAUAAUAAUAUAGAACCCUAUUUUCUCUGUUUUCGAUUAACAAUUCUUUUUAUUCCGCAUAUUUAUAAGCAUCAGGAAAAAAAGACUGAAAAUGUAACAAAUAAAUAAACCGUUCGUAGAAAUUCUUUUAUCUUACCUUUCAUUCGCUACUCCUCAUAAACAUAUAUUUUGUCAACUUUCCACAUUGAAAUAUGAGAUAUAGUAAUUUUUAGUUCGAAUAGAAUGAGUCUGCGUGCUUUAGUGCUAAAUGGCAAUCCCACUAAAUAGUGGUUGUACAGCUAUAUUAAUUUUUUGUUUUCGAGCAAUACAUCAAAGGUUGAAAUUUAUUAAACAUUAAAUAAAUAUAACGAGUUAUUUAUUAAAUG